RNAcentral lists this transfer RNA (76 nucleotides) under Oscillospiraceae bacterium. Its description in RNAcentral is "tRNA-Ala". It matches the Rfam family "tRNA". Rfam says of the family: Transfer RNA (tRNA) molecules are approximately 80 nucleotides in length. RNAcentral also lists the same sequence under 1 other name. Lineage: Bacteria; Bacillati; Bacillota; Clostridia; Eubacteriales; Oscillospiraceae. The record is from RNAcentral.
GGGGGCAUAGCUCAGCUGGGAGAGCGCCUGCCUUGCAAGCAGGAGGUCACGAGUUCGAGCCUCGUUGUCUCCACCA